This is a long non-coding RNA of Mustela erminea (ermine), 2257 nucleotides long. RefSeq lists it as uncharacterized. NCBI's taxonomy places the organism in Eukaryota, Metazoa, Chordata, Mammalia, Carnivora, Mustelidae. The transcript is spliced from 3 exons. The record is from RefSeq and is a predicted model, not a curated record.
CACAAAAAUAAUAUCCACUGGUUUUCUUUUAUAAUAUCAUCCAACUAAAGUGACACAUUUUGAAGCAGCCUAGUUAUUAAAAUGCAGCUUUAUGCUGGUAUGAAUGUCACUUAUUUUUAAAAGGAAAGUAAUUUUACAUGAUUUUCUCUCUUAUUUUUUGUCCUGAUGAUACCGGGAGAUCUGUGAUUCAGGGACUCCUUCAAAUGGUCUUGUCCCUUCUACCAUGCUACUUUAAAUGAAGACUGAAAGCUUUUAGAAUCCUUCUUCCCAGGGGAACUCAUGAAAUGUCAAAUGGUCACAUCAGCCACUUGGACUAGCCUGGGAAUGAAGACUUAAUUUGGUCAUGGGAAUAGUAGAUAAAUAUUUCCUUGAAGUUCUUUCACCAUCCUGGUCUUUCUCCUCUGAAAACAUUCCAUCAUGUUGUGUCAUUGUCCAAAAUGGAACACUCACUGAACUGAACUCAAUUUAUCAGGGAUAUCAUUUAGUGCUCUUAGUGUCCCAAGUGGUAGAAAACCAAAUUUAUGUGAUUUAACACUGAAGAGAGGUUGUGAGUUCAUAUUAUCUAAAAGAAAUUGGAUGGGCUUCAGAUGAAGCUUGAUCCAGAAGUUCAGACAGUGUCACCAAGUUUUCAACUCUUCUCUUCUCUCCGUACUAUAAUCAGUGUUGGCUUCAGCAGGUCUGGCAGGUCUGGACUCUCCAGUUAUGUUAUCUAAAGACCAGUUCUGUAUCUCUCAUCUUCAUACCACAUGUUCCAGAGGGAGCCACGAGGCUCUAGUAAACCUAACAAGAGCCCAUUCCUAAAGCUAGUAGAGGCAUCAAUCCUACCCAAAUCUCAUGGUUGAGAAUGGGAAGGAGGAAAUUCAGCAUUCUGUUGCUAGGGAAAGGGAGGAAUGCAUUCUGAGCAGUAAAAAACAUGGGUCGACUAUUCCAGGUGUGUUCUGACCAAUGCACAGUAAGUAUGACUCUUAACUCCCCUAAACAGUGUUAUCUAAUGGAACUUUCUGCGAUCCUGGAAAUGUUCUAUAUUCAUGCUAAUACAGUAGCCACCUAACCACACGUGACUAUUGAGUACAUGAAAUGUGGCUAAUGUGACUAAGAACUGGGUUUUUUACAUUGUUUAAAUUAAACUUAAUUUAACCUAAAUAAGUUAACAUGGCUAGGGGUUGCCAUAUUGUACAGCACAGUUAUAGAGACUUUUGUUUCCAUUAAAGCAACUGAAGAUCACAUUUGUUUUUUGGCAGGCACAUAAUAUUAUUUAUAGUACAUAAUGGAGCUUAUUAUCAACAAAAUUCCAUAGCUUUUUUUUCUAUUUAUGAGUAUACUGAGUCAUGUCUUUGUCAUUCUGUACAUUUGCAAUUAAUAAUUUAGACCUAAAUGAAAGAUUUCACAUUUAUGCCAGCUUGGAUUAUGGGGCAUCCCCAACCUUAAAGAAAUGUUUUAUCCUGAUAUUUUUUUCCACAAUAUUACUUGGUCACCAACCUUAUGUUGGCCUCUGUCAUAAAGGGAAUCUAACCUAUAGCAACACUUUUUUUUUUUUUUAAUCUUGAGGAUUAUAAAUGGCUUUCAAGAGUCUGUGACACUUCUGAAAUUACAUGUAGAUUUUUGUGUGCUUCUUUUUUUUUUUUUUUUAAAGAAAGAUCCCAGUGCCUUCAUUAAAUUUUCAAAGUUUAAAGUCAAUAAUCAAGAAUUUGUGUCUUUGCACAAAUUAUUAAACCAAGGCAGGAAUCUGUGGCCUGCUGUUAAAAAUGGUCCUCCCGAUAAAUACCAGUGUUUUCCCCAGGCUCUGUGUCUAGUUCCCUAGACCAGAAAAAUAGUGAGUUUCUUUCCUUUUUUUGUUUUUUUUUAGCUUUAGUUGCCCUGCCCUGCGCCAAAAGUGCUGCCCAUUGUAAGGCAAAACCACUAAAGUCAGAAAUUUAAAGUUUUGACUUCAAAAUGGACUUCCAAAAUCUCCCAAUUCUUGUUCACUAAGCAUUGCAUCGAGCAGGAAUAUCAAUGAAGCAAGAUACAAAGUGAAACUAUGUCCACUAGUGCCAUUCUUGGAGCACCUGAUGGUCCCAGGGUAGGCUUUCCUUUCAGAGCUCCUGCAGGGUUUGAAGAGGAAGACCGCAGGGCAAAGUGCCCUUCUCAUGACAGGAUAUUGCUGUUCUCAUCACAACUUUGGGCUCUGCUAUGAUAGAAGAGCUACACUAUAAUGGUUCUGAAGUCAGAUGGCCUGACUUCAUACCCUGGCCCAACUACCUAUACACACAUGACCUCA